UUGCCACGUAUCAACUCAAACGACGCUGACAUUUGAAACUUAACUUAUCAGAACGUUAAAUCUAUCUAAAAGUUCAACUGUUCAAAGCUUCCUGCCAUUAACCAGUAAAAGGUUUGUAAAACAAAAGAUAAAGAAUUUUCGUGCUCGAUUACGACGUAUAAAUAUGCCCAUGGAAGCUUAUAAUUCUGUAAUUGUACAUUAAUCAAAGUCAAACAAAGUUACAAUUCCAAACAACAACAAUAUGCUUACAAAAAACAAAUCAUUGCGAUCUUAAACAAGAUAAAUCAAACGAAGUUACAAUUCCAAACAAGAGCAAUAUGCUUACCAAAAACAAAUCACUGCCAUCUUAAACAAGAUGGAAUCGCCAGGAAUAAGAAAUCUGUCUUACAUUCAGCAAAUAAUUAACGUGGUGCAAAAGGAACUUGCUCAGUUUUUCAUUAAACAAUGGAACUCUCGUUACAAAUCAACUUAUGGAGAAUGGGAUGAUACACACAUCAGUGGUAACAAAUUUUACAAUUUAGAAUCAAGAAGAAAGUUAGACCAAAAAACUCGACAAAAAUAUCAAGAUGGAGAUACCAGUAAGUGGGACUGUACGAUAUUAUUUGAUGCAAUAAUUUUUUCAAAUUCAAUUGGAAAGCACCUUGACAAAAAAACAAAGGAUGCUGUUCAUGCACUUCGUUGUGAAAGAAACAAGUACGCACAUUGGUAUGAAAGGGA
Xenia sp. Carnegie-2017 is the source of this 717-nucleotide long non-coding RNA. RefSeq lists it as uncharacterized. The record is from RefSeq and is a predicted model, not a curated record. The transcript is spliced from 3 exons. NCBI's taxonomy places the organism in Eukaryota, Metazoa, Cnidaria, Anthozoa, Malacalcyonacea, Xeniidae.